RNAcentral lists this ribosomal RNA (497 nucleotides) under uncultured bacterium. RNAcentral describes it as "partial 16S ribosomal RNA". It matches the Rfam family "Bacterial small subunit ribosomal RNA", at positions 28 to 507 of the family's 1533-position model. The record is from RNAcentral.
GAUGAACGCUGGCGGCGUGCCUAAUACAUGCAAGUCGAGCGAACAGAUAAGGAGCUUGCUCCUUUGACGUUAGCGGCGGACGGGUGAGUAACACGUGGGUAACCUACCUAUAAGACUGGGAUAACUUCGGGAAACCGGAGCUAAUACCGGAUAACAUUUGGAACCGCAUGGUUCUAAAGUGAAAGAUGGUUUUGCUAUCACUUAUAGAUGGACCCGCGCCGUAUUAGCUAGUUGGUAAGGUAACGGCUUACCAAGGCAACGAUACGUAGCCGACAUGAGAGGGUGAUCGGCCAAACUGGAACUGAGACACGGGAAAGAGUACUAAGGGAGGAAGCAGUAGGGAAGAUUCCGCAAUGGGCGAAAGCCUGACGGAGCAACGCCGCGUGAGUGAUGAAGGGGUUCGGCUCGUAAAACUCUGUUAUUAGGGAAGAACAAAAGUGUAAGUAACUGUGCACGUCUUGACGGUACCUAAUCAGAAAGCAACGGCUAACUACGUG